This 292-nucleotide ribosomal RNA is filed under the name uncultured bacterium. Its description in RNAcentral is "partial 16S ribosomal RNA". It matches the Rfam family "Bacterial small subunit ribosomal RNA", at positions 505 to 796 of the family's 1533-position model. The record is from RNAcentral.
GUGCCAGCCGCCGCGGUAAUACGGAGGGAGCUAGCGUUGUUCGGAAUUACUGGGCGUAAAGCGCACGUAGGCGGCUUUUUAAGUCAGGGGUGAAAUCCCGGGGCUCAACCCCGGAACUGCCCUUGAAACUGGGAAGCUAGAAUCUUGGAGAGGCGAGUGGAAUUCCGAGUGUAGAGGUGAAAUUCGUAGAUAUUCGGAAGAACACCAGUGGCGAAGGCGACUCGCUGGACAAGUAUUGACGCUGAGGUGCGAAAGCGUGGGGAGCAAACAGGAUUAGAUACCCCCGUAGUCC